AAACGAAAAUUUUGGUUUAAAUGUCACUCCUAGACGUCACACUCCCAGCGCCCGGGCCCCACCUUUCUAUAUCUCUCGCUCUGAUUUUCCCUCAACGCUCGCCGGCGUCUCUCCCCCGUCCGAGCAGCAAUGGCCGCCGUUUUUGUCCCAAAAUGUUCCCCUGCUUUUCCUCUACCUAUUCUAUCAAAAUUAAGCCCAUCCUACCGCAGUGGAAAACGGUGGCUCGUUCGAAAGAAAUCCCAGAAAUAGCCGCCGAUUUCGAGCUAUUUUCGGUGGCGGUUGCCGUUGCCACCUAUUAGGUUUUGAUCCCCGCCCUCGAAGGAAGCUAAUCCACCAAAGAGCCCCCUCAUUGGUCCACCGGUGACGGAGAAUCGAAGCUGGAUAUUUUUCACAGCCACCGAAGCUUUUCCGGUGAGAUUUCGGAAAAUCCGGCCACCAUCAACCGUCGACCCAGUGAUACUCAGAUUCACCCAUAGCAGCCGUAUAUCUGGAAAGGGACGUUUGUGGAAGUGGGCAAAGGAAUAUCACCGAACGUUGAACAAGUUUUGGAAUUACUGUUGAAUAAGGAAGAGUUUCUGGCUUUUGCACCAGACACCGAAGAAACAAGGUCAAUGAUUAACAUAAUAUCGGUUAAAUUUCCCCUCUUGAAGAAUGUUUCUAGAGUUUACAAAGAUGAACAGGAGCUGGAAACCUAUAUAGGCUCAGAUCUCUAUGGUACCUGCAAUCAAAUAAUGAAUUGCUCGAAUCCAAAAAUCAAAGGAGCAGUAGUAUUUCAUGACCAAGGUCCCCAAUUUUUUGAUUAUAGCAUACGUCUCAAUCACAUGGGCUUUCUCAAGAUUUCCUGACGUUAAAUCCAUCAUGGACACAAAUGGUCCCUAACUUAAUGACUUGGAACUGGGAGAAAAUACAGUACCAACAAUGCAAUACAGCUUCAGCGGUUUCUUAACUUUCCAGCAAGUUCUGGAUUCCUUUAUAAUUUUUGUGCCCCAACAAUCUGACACCAAAAAUAUAGAACUUCCUUCAUCUUUGCCCUCUGGCUAACCUUCCUCUCUUAAUGUGCCAUGGACGAGUUAUGGUCUGUCAAACAUUCAAAUAGUCCCAUUUCCAACUCGUGAAUACACUGAUGAUGAGUUCCAGUCCAUCAUAAAAAGUGUCAUGGCUGUAUUGUAUAUUUUGGGAUUUCUCUACCCAAUUUCUAGAUUGAUCAGCUAUUCUGUGUUUGAGAAGGAACAGAAGAUAAGAGAAGGUCUUUAUAUGACGGGGGUGGAGGAUGGGAUACUCCAUCUCUCAUGGUUUAUUGCAUAUAAUUUGCAGUUGACGGAGAAUUUCGGGAUUUUUGCCAUGAUUCCUCUUGGAAAAGGGUCUAAGAGUAAAAGUUGUUCUCCUUGAAGAGCUUAUGCUAGUGGUAUAUUGCUUGUGCCAAUCUGGCCACUCCUCAAGCCACCAAUCGCUACUGAAGGUGAGUGAACUGCUUAGUGGUGCCCCACUUUGCUUUGUAAUUGUCCCUGCAUCGUCUGAAGCACGAUGAUAAACUUGGAUUGGUGAGAUUUCGUCGUUUGAUAGGCGAACGAAGUUUCGCC
This is a non-coding RNA of Prunus avium (sweet cherry), 1580 nucleotides long. The record is from RefSeq and is a predicted model, not a curated record. NCBI's taxonomy places the organism in Eukaryota, Viridiplantae, Streptophyta, Magnoliopsida, Rosales, Rosaceae.